Erigeron canadensis is the source of this 105-nucleotide small nuclear RNA. The record is from RefSeq and is a predicted model, not a curated record. Lineage: Eukaryota; Viridiplantae; Streptophyta; Magnoliopsida; Asterales; Asteraceae.
UAAAUACUCGCAUUUAGUUUUUAAAAGUGUAAAACAAUACAGAGAAGAUUAGCAUGGCCCCUGCGCAAGGAUGACACACACAAAAUAGCAUUCUUAGACUUGUAU